AAUGAACGCUGGCGGCAUGCCUAACACAUGCAAGUCGAACGAGACCUUCGGGUCUAGUGGCGCACGGGUGCGUAACGCGUGGGAAUCUGCCCUUGGGUUCGGAAUACCAUUUGGAAACAAAUGCUAAUACCGUAUAUUCUCGAAAGAGGAAAGAUUUAUCGCUGAUGGAUGAGCCCGCGUCAGAUUAGGUAGUUGGUGGGGUAAUGGCCUACCAAGCCGACGAUCUGUAGCUGGUCUGAGAGGACGAUCAGCCACACUGGAACUUAGACACGGUCCAGACUCCUACGGGAGGCAGCAGUGGGGAAUAUUGGACAAUGGGCGAAAGCCUGAUCCAGCAAUACCGCGUGAACGAUAAAGGCCUUAGGGUUGUAAAGUUCUUUUAGCAGGGAAGAUAAUGACAGUACCUGCAGAAAAAGCCCCGGCUAACUUCGUGCCAGCCGCCGCCGUAA
This 449-nucleotide ribosomal RNA is filed under the name uncultured bacterium. RNAcentral describes it as "partial 16S ribosomal RNA". It matches the Rfam family "Bacterial small subunit ribosomal RNA", at positions 29 to 523 of the family's 1533-position model. The record is from RNAcentral.